Molecule: long non-coding RNA, 4141 nt
Filed under: Lactuca sativa (garden lettuce)
Lineage: Eukaryota; Viridiplantae; Streptophyta; Magnoliopsida; Asterales; Asteraceae
Description: long non-coding RNA (LSAT_LNC000721)
Source: RNAcentral
AUAAACCCUAAUGUGAGAGAUGGAAGGGAUCUUGAGGAUCUUGAGUCAAACCGGGAACUCAACCCACAAGGUAAGUAAAUAUUCUAUAAAUCGGUCCAUCAACAAUUUAUACUCUUACCAUAAUAACUGGAUUUAAUAAUAUAUCGUACAUAUUUAUGAAGUGGUCCCAUAAUUAUCCAACAAUCUCCCACUGGACCACGAAUAUAUAAAUGUACGUAUAACUGUAUAAGCGCUUUAAUGAAUGUUAUUAUAACAUUGGUACCCUUAAACAAUCUCGUCCACUAAUCAUAAUAGUAUAGGAUCAAAGCGGCCUUCGUUACAAUUUACGUAACUAAACCUAUCAAUGGUCACAUAUACAUAUAUAACUAACGACAUAGAUUAAACAUGAUGUGUGGUUUUAAAAUCUAAAUAUAUUUACAACGAGUUCCUCUUGAGAUUGAAGUAAGAUCAAACUUCAAAUAAGUGCAAUUAAUAAUGGAGUUAACCGAAUUCUUAAUUCUGUACAGAAAAACAUAAUUAAUCUUAAACAAAACGUAAAGCACCAUAAAACUCCCACUAAAACCAAAUAUCACACCAACGUGUGUAGUAUGCUCAUGAAAGACCUAGGGAGGUAAUCCCUUUAUGAGCGGAUCCGCUUUCAUGGAGUUUGUUCAUAUGUGCUAUAUAUAUUUCCAUUUUGCACUAUUGUGUUAACAGAAGGAAACUUGAUGUCAAUAUGCUUUGACUUAAUAGAACUUCUGUUAUUGGAAUAUAACAUUGCUGAUUUAUUAUCACAACUUUAAUGGUCUUUCAAUACCAAUAAUGUGUAGCCUCGUGACAAAUUUCCGCAACCAUAUUCCACGCUAUAAAUUAUGAUGCCAUUAUGGAAGAUGCUACCGAAGUCUAUUCCAUGAAGUGGCUCAUCAUGCUAAAAUGUAAAAGUAUUCCAAUAUGGACAGGUAACCAUUUUGGCAUCUAAUAAAAUCAGAUUUUUAAUAAAAAUGAUCUCCAAAACAUCUGAUUUCCUAUAGUUGAGCAUAUAGCAUUUUGUUAUAUAUAGAUAUCUCAAAAUUCAUUUGGCUACUUUCUUAUGACCCAAACUUGGGUUGCAUAGAUAUCGACCCAAAACCAGAAAUACAAAUUUACUAUCAUUUACUGUAUUUACCCCAAAACCAAAAGAGAUAAUAAAUUGAUAAAAAAAAAUGGUACCGCGCAUAGGAUAUCCAAAGUUGAUGUUGUUGAGUNGUGUAUUCAAAAUAAGAGGUUUAAUAACAUUGUCGAUCACCGAUUCAUAAUUUGCAUACUAUUGAAAGCAAUAAUAGGAAUCAAGAUUGAUUCCUCCUUAAGGACAAUGUUUUAACCUUGUUUCUCACCUAAACUCAACAUCUUCAAAGAAUGUUGGUCUACCCAAAAAUGCAAGGUUAAUAUCCGUGAAAUUGAGAAUUAACAUAAUGCCAUCAUUCCAUUCCUUAAAGUUAAUAUCAUUGAGUACAUAAAUCAUAAAUGAGAUCAAUUUUAGCAGAUAUAAUACCAUAAUUCAAACAUAAGCAAAUCUAUUUUUAUGCUCAUUAAUCUAUAAACCGUAAUCAAUAAAUUCAAUUUAUUACAUCUCUACAAGGUAUCGACACAACAUUAACAUCAAGUCUUUGGACAGUGAUACUAAUUUACAAGAGAUAACCUUGUUUUAGAGAUAAACAUCAACAAUAAAUCAUGUCAAUUAACGAGCCCCUCUUUGGAUUGACUUAUUAAUCACAUGGAACCAAAUAAUCGCCACAUGUUUAUCACUACAUAUAUGUUUAUUUGGCUAAAUGUCAGUCUACCUUUGGGUCGGCUGAUACCCGCAUUAAUGAAACACAUAAACUAUAAAUUUUAAUAAUAAGAAUUGACAAUAUAUCAUGUCAAUUAAUAAACCCGUCUUUGAAUUGAUUUAUUAAUGACAUGUAACUUAAAAAAUUGUCGCAUAUUUAUCAUCAAACAUGUGUUCAUCCGGCCAAAUAUUAAUCCACCUUUGGGUCGAUUAAUAUUCGCAUUAAUAAACACAAACCAUAAAAUUUAAGUUCUUAGAAAAUUAAUUUUCACAAAAUGGAUCACUUUGGCGAUACAUUAUGUCAAUAAACUUUCUAUAAAAAAUGAUAAAUAAAAUAAAAUAAUAAUAUCAUAACUGAAUUUAUUGACAACCCACAAAGUAAUAUUUCAUCGUAAAGGAAAAUUAAAUUACAUACUUUUCCUUUUGCUAAAUUAAUCCAUAAGAUGACCAUACUGAACAAAUUUAUUCUAAUACCGCAUUAAAUGAUUUCAUUAUUACCAUAAUUUAACAUAGGACCAGAUUGAAACAAAUAAUACAAAAUAAAACCAAAGGCACUAAAUUAACAAAGACAAUAUGUCAAUCUGCUUGGAAACUUUUAAAUGUGGUAUAAUUUAAUAAUACAAAAUAAAACCAAAGGCAGUAAGAAGAACUAUAGCCAUUUGGAUUGAAAAGCAAAUAUAGUGAGCCGUCACAAUUCAAAAGUUUUCUUUAUUACAUUUAUAUGUAGCGUAAUGCACCAAGUAAAGUAAAAAGAAACCAGAAAACCCUCCGCUUAGUUUUCAACGAGGUUAACAAGAAAAGGUUUUCAAAUAAUAACUAGUCGUUCAACAAACAUGUAUGUUAUAAUCAAAAUAGUAACCCAAAAUUUCUAUUAACAGAUUCAAGGAGGCUCUGAUACCAAUUGUUGGUUAUUUUCAUAUAACCAAAACAUAAAACGCGGAAGCAUAAACAUUGGAUCUUUAAUCUCGAAUCUGAUUAAAAGAAAACUUAGACAUGAAAGAACGAUUACAUACCUGAUUUCAUUAUAAUCUUCGGAUUUGAAGAACUAGGGUUGAGUUUUCCAGUUGAUCUCAAGAGCUCUCUUUAAAAUCCCUCAGCAAACCCUAAACGAAUUUACAUUUGUAUUGAUUUGCUCCUCAUCACAUAUAUUUAUAGAUGGAGAUAAACCCUAAUGUGAGAGAUGGAAGGGAUCUUGAGGAUCUUGAGUCAAAUCGGGAACUCAACCCACAAGGUAAGUAAAUAUUCUAUAAAUCGGUCCAUCAACAAUUUAUACUCUUACCAUAAUAUCUGGAUUUAAUAAUAUAUCGUACAUAUUUAUGAAGUGGUCCCAUAAUUAUCCAACAAGACCCAACUUGGAUGUAGCAUGUUGAUGUUGAGUUCCAUUGAGAGAUUUAAUCAUGACAUCAGCUAGUUGAUGUUGAGUAGGAGCAUUUGAUAAGGAAAUCAACCCAGAAUGUAACUUUUCUCGAACAUAAUGGCAGUCGAGCUUAAUAUGUUUAAUUCUCUCAUGAUUAUCGGGUUGUUUGCAAUGUAUAUCGCCGCCUGAUUAUCACACUUCAAUGGAAUAAGAGUGAUGCAUGUAACUUCAAAUUCCACGAACAGAUGACUAAGCCAUGCAUGCAAGUUCUACACAUACACAUCACAUGGAUCUAUAACCUCCUUCUGCAGAAGAUAAAGAUAAAGAUACGAUAACUUGUUUCUUGGAUUUCCAAGAAAUUGGACUUCCACCAAAGAAUAUAUAUGAAGUACACACUUAUUGAAGGUCUUGUAAGAGGACAUGUGACCCAACCUGAGUCACAAUAGGCUUUCUAUGUUUUAUUAGGAACUUUUGUUGAAGUGAAGACCUUGAGUAACCGACUCCUUAAGAAGAUAUUUAAGUACAUGAAGAGAAGCAUCAUAAUGUGCUUGACAAGGAGUUUGAUUGAAUUGACUUAGAUAUUCAAAAAAAAAAAAAAACAAAAAGCAAUUUCAGGUCUAGUAUACAACAAAAAAUUCAAAUUUCCAACCAACUGUCUAUACUUAGAUGGAUCUCGUAACGGAUUGUCCAGAACAUGUGUCAAGUGAAGUUUUGAAGGAAGAGGCAUCUUUGCAUUAGUAGCAUCCAUCAUAGAGUAUGAAUGUAACAGUUCUUUGAUAAAUCUUUGUUCACACUGUUGACUUUGGUGAACUCAAGUCCAAGAAAAAGAUUAAUGUGGCCUAAAUCUUUUAUUUGAAACUCAACAUGUAAUGAGGAUUUGAUAUUUACUAUUUCAUCAAGAUCAUUUCUCGUGACAAGAAUAUCGUCAACAUAAACAACAAUAACAACAAUGGAAGUAGAACUUUUCUUCAUGAAAAUUGAAUAAUCAUUUUUAAAUC